UGCAUUCACUACUGUAAGUCGCUCUGGAUAAGAGCGUCUGCUAAAUGGCCAAAA
Molecule: non-coding RNA, 54 nt
Organism: Salmo salar (Atlantic salmon)
Lineage: Eukaryota; Metazoa; Chordata; Actinopteri; Salmoniformes; Salmonidae
Source: Rfam